CUCCAGGUGGCUCUUUAUGAGAGCAAUGCAGAAGUGAGGGCAGUAAACAACCUUACAAAGGGAAGCCUUCCGGUGCAGGUGAAAGCAAGAAAUACAGCUCCAUCGCAUCCAGCGAGUAUAUUAAAGGCAGUUUCAUCUGUUACCAGAGCUCUAGAACUAUUUGUGAAACCUGAAGAGCCGGAUGGAGAGAAUUGCUAUAAAUGUAGCGACAUUGUCUGCACCAUGGCUUGUCAAACUUCCUAGGUGUGUAGCUGCAUGCUGAAAUAUUCAUAUUGGCAGAAGUGAAAAGACAUGCCCAGUAAGUAGUGGUGAGCUGAAGCAAGGAGCUAUGGAGAAUGAUUUGGAGUGGAAGGCAGCAGCAGGUUCCUGAAGGUCCUAG
This 379-nucleotide long non-coding RNA is filed under the name Anser brachyrhynchus (Pink-footed goose). RNAcentral's name for it is "lncRNA (ENSABRG00000013256.1)". The record is from RNAcentral. Lineage: Eukaryota; Metazoa; Chordata; Aves; Anseriformes; Anatidae.